Scatophagus argus is the source of this 1274-nucleotide non-coding RNA. The record is from the annotation of a RefSeq genome assembly. NCBI's taxonomy places the organism in Eukaryota, Metazoa, Chordata, Actinopteri, Scatophagidae.
UCGUCUCGUUGGUUUUAAUACAACAGCAAACAGGAUCAGAGGUCGUCACGCGCUGCAGAGACACGCCCACCAGUGACUCCUCACACCUCACGACAGUUAGUUCUCACACUGACAGUUACAGUACAUGAGACUUUAAACAUGGACAUUAUCCAACACGGUCUCCUCAGCUUCUUAUUUCUGCUCUGGAACAAAGGACUGACUGAUGGAAGUGAUGUGACCCAGACUGACAUACUGUGGAAAAGAGAAGGCGAAGACGCAACAAUGAACUGCAGCCACAGAAAGGAUAUUACCUACAGCCAGAUGUACUGGUACAGACAGCUGCCAGGAGAAACAAUGAAGCAGAUCGUCUUCACUAGAGCUGGCAUAGAAGAUCAUGACUUUGGAAGUUUCAGCAAAGAGAAAUUCUCAGCCACCAAACCUGAUGCUCAGAGUGGGACAUUCACAGUGAAGAAUCUGGUGCCAGGAGACAAAGGCUUGUAUUUCUGUGCUGUUAGUCAACACAGUGAUGAAGGUGACUGAGACAGCUGCACAAAUACCCAACUGUUGGUGCCACGUGGGAUAAAAGCCAUCAGCACCUUUAAUCAUCUGCUGGGGGAGCUCCAGACCUGCAGACCAUGUUAAGAUUCCUGGUUGGUAUUCAGGGUAAUUUGUGAGAACACAGGCUUUGUGGAAGAACAUUUGGCUGAAAAACACAGGAACUGUGACCUCAUAUGUCCUCUGCUCUAUAGAACACGUUUCAUCCAGUUCAGGGCCACUUUGAUUACUGCUUUAAUUCAAUGGAAAUGCAUUGAAAUAUUUUACAUUUAAUCUUAAAUAAAGUUUCACUCUAUUUUGUGUAGAAUUUUAUAUUUGGCUUUUUCACCAGUUAAUCACAAAAAAGGUCAUGUUUCCUACUUUUCAUGUAUCACAUACCUGAGUUGCUGGCUACAAAGACUCAGUCUGUGACAGAAUGACAUUACGAUAAAAAUCAUUUUAUCUCCUGCUGUCACACACCAUCAAAAAUGUCUCAUUCCACUCUGUUUCAGGUUUCUGACGAGCAUCAAACAUGAAUGAAGACAGACAUAUUAACUGUGUGUGUGUGUGCUGCUGCACAGUAACGACACGUUUUCACAGAGAACACGUGUCACGUGACCUGAUGGAUGACGUGAUGCCGACGUCAGCUGAUUGGUUCAGGGCCUCACUGUAACCCUGUUCUGUCUGUCCAGCAGCUCAAAAUGAUCUCCGUUGUCGUCUUCACUCUUCUCUCUUCUGUGCUGCAGGUAUUUUACCUUCUC